Molecule: ribosomal RNA, 468 nt
Filed under: uncultured bacterium
Lineage: Bacteria
Description: partial 16S ribosomal RNA
Rfam family: Bacterial small subunit ribosomal RNA
Source: RNAcentral
GACGAACGCUGGCGGCGUGCUUAACACAUGCAAGUCGAACGGAAAGGCCCUGCUUUUGUGGGGUGCUCGAGUGGCGAACGGGUGAGUAACACGUGAGUAACCUGCCCUUGACUUUGGGAUAACUUCAGGAAACUGGGGCUAAUACCGGAUAGGAGCUCCUGCUGCAUGGUGGGGGUUGGAAAGUUUCGGCGGUUGGGGAUGGACUCGCGGCUUAUCAGCUUGUUGGUGGGGUAGUGGCUUACCAAGGCUUUGACGGGUAGCCGGCCUGAGAGGGUGACCGGCCACAUUGGGACUGGGAUACGGCGCAGACUCCUACGGGAGGCAGCAGUGGGGAAUAUUGCACAGUGGGCGGAAGCCUGAUGCAGCAACGCCGCGUGCGGGAUGACGGCCUUCGGGUUGUAAACCGCUUUCGCCUGUGACGAAGCGUGAGUGACGGUAAUGGGUAAAGAAGCACCGGCUAACUACGUG